RNAcentral lists this ribosomal RNA (497 nucleotides) under uncultured bacterium. Its description in RNAcentral is "partial 16S ribosomal RNA". It matches the Rfam family "Bacterial small subunit ribosomal RNA", at positions 28 to 507 of the family's 1533-position model. The record is from RNAcentral.
GAUGAACGCUGGCGGCGUGCCUAAUACAUGCAAGUCGAACGGCAAGAUGCGGAGAUUGCUCCUCUGACGUUAGCGGCUGACGGGUGGGUGACACGUGGAUAAGCUUCCUCUAAUUCUGGGGUGAUUACGUGGAACCGGUGCUGAUAACGGCUCAUAUAUUGAACCGCAUGGUUCAAUAGUUAUAGACGGUUUUGGUGUCUGUUUUAGCUGAAUUCGUGUCGGAUUAGCUAGUUGGUAGGGUACCGGCUCACCAAGGCGACGAUCCGUAGCUGGUCCGAGAGGAUGAUCAGCCACACUGGAACUGAGACACGGUCCAGACUCCUACGGGAGGCAGCAGUGGGGAAUAUUGGACAAUGGGCGCAAGCCUGAUCCAGCCAUACCGCGUGGGUGAAGAAGGCCUUCGGGUUGUAAAGCCCUUUUGUUGGGAAAGAAAAGCAGCAGGUUAAUCCACCGCUGUUCUGACGGUACCCAAAGAAUAAGCACCGGCUAACUUCGUG